Enhydra lutris kenyoni (northern sea otter) is the source of this 1125-nucleotide long non-coding RNA. RefSeq lists it as uncharacterized. The record is from RefSeq and is a predicted model, not a curated record. NCBI's taxonomy places the organism in Eukaryota, Metazoa, Chordata, Mammalia, Carnivora, Mustelidae. The transcript is spliced from 2 exons.
CGCUCUUUCAGUUCUGUGGAGAAGCUUCCCGAGCCGCGGGGCGGAGGAGUCGGAAGGUGUCGCCGUCUCCCUCAGCGGUCACCGGCCGGAAAACAGAGGGGAAUUGGGAUGCGCAAGAAAGCAGCGCUGGCUCAGCUCACGCUGCGGGGCCGGAGGGCUCUGCAGUCUCUUUUUGUGGCGACCAUGGCCGUGGAUGUGACUAGAAACUUCUGGAAAUGGCGGCGACUGCGGCGAAGAGGCUGAACACAGGGUAUUCUACAUACUAUUUUCGUAGGGCGGGUGGGCGAAUUUGUGGGGUCGAGCCCGGGAAAAUAGGUCUAAAGACAGAGGCAGGGUAUCUGUCCCCUGAAUUAGCAGCUGCGAACAGCUGGCCCGGCCUGUACCGAGACGCGGGGCACGUCGCGGCCUCCAUGUCCGCGCGGUAGUGCGCUUGCGCCCUGGCGGUACAGCGCCUGCACGGGAUCCCCGGGGACCCGGACCUGCGGGGAGCUCGGCGGCGCCCCGACGCGCCUGCCCUCAUCUGUGCCAGGUGAGGCCCCAGUGUGAGUUCGAAAGUACAUUAACGUGCACCUGGCGCGGGGACAUCGUCGCGAGCCCCACAAUACUCUCUCCCAUUCACACCUUCGAGUGACCUUUUGAGAGAAAUAAGUUUCUCUACACCCUAGAUAGUAUUUCAGAGGAACUGCUCAAGUACUGGAGAAGAGCACGUGAGGAAAAUUUACGGUCUCGGCGUACCAGCAGCGGGUACUCUUAUUUCUGGACGCUUUUUAUUUACAUCGGGGUUAGCCGGCGACAGUUUGUACGUUCCUUUACUUAACCACCAAAGGGAUUACAUAAUCUGAGGGAAACCAUCUUAUUCUGACUUAACUUCUGAACGCUUUUUGUUUACAUCGAGGUUAAUGUGCCAGUUUGUUCAUGCCUUUAUCUAACCGCUAAAGGGGAUACAUAAUUGGACGGAAACCACCUCCCUCAUCAUUAAUGAUGGUCUCCAAACUACAGCACCUACUUAUGACUUAAUGGAGUAACAGAUUUGUCUACGGUGAUGUGACACUUUAGACUUGACACGAAGUUAAAUCCCAACAAAUUAUAUGAAACAUAAACUUGCAUUAAAGAUCACUAAUUUUU